This is a long non-coding RNA of Sphaeramia orbicularis (orbiculate cardinalfish), 94 nucleotides long. RefSeq lists it as uncharacterized. The record is from RefSeq and is a predicted model, not a curated record. NCBI's taxonomy places the organism in Eukaryota, Metazoa, Chordata, Actinopteri, Kurtiformes, Apogonidae. The transcript has 3 exons.
GUUUGAAUCCACUCAUGUUGGUUUUUCGUCAAUCUCAGGCUCAUUCCAGGUUUAGUGUGGAACCCAUCGUGUCCACUGGUGUUACACGCAGAAC